Molecule: long non-coding RNA, 482 nt
Organism: Oncorhynchus tshawytscha (Chinook salmon)
Lineage: Eukaryota; Metazoa; Chordata; Actinopteri; Salmoniformes; Salmonidae
Source: Ensembl
UGUAGGGUGUCAUGGGGCUCUGGUCUAUAGUAGUGCACUAUAUAGGGAGUAGGGCUCUGGUCUAAAGUAGUGCACUAUAUAGGGAGUAGGGUGUCAUGGGGCUCUGGUCUAAAGUAGUGCACUAUAUAGGGAGUAGGGUGGAGUAGGGCUCUGGUCUAAAGUAGUGCACUAUAUAGGGAGUAGGGUGUCAUGGGGCUCUGGUCUAAAGUAGUGCACUAUAUAGGGAGUAGGGUGCUAUAGGGCUCUGGUCUAAAGUAGUGCACUAUAUAGGGAGUAGGGCUCUGGUCUAAAGUAGUGCACUAUAUAGGGAGUUGGGUGCCAUAGGGCUCUGGUCUAAAGUAGUGCACUAUAUAGGGAGUUGGGUGCCAUAGGGCUCUGGUCUAAAGUAGUGCACUAUAUAGGGAGUUGGGUGCCAUAGGGCUCUGGUCUAAAGUAGUGCACUAUAUAGGGAGUUGGGUGCCAUAGGGCUCUGGUCUAAAGUA